This 301-nucleotide ribosomal RNA is filed under the name uncultured bacterium. RNAcentral's name for it is "bacterial SSU rRNA". It matches the Rfam family "Bacterial small subunit ribosomal RNA", at positions 28 to 355 of the family's 1533-position model. The record is from RNAcentral.
GACGAACGCUGGCGGUGUGCUUCACACAUGCAAGUCGAACGAGGUAGCAAUACCUAGUGGCGGACGGGUGAGUAACGCGUGGGAAUCUGCCUUUAGAUGGGGGAUAACGGGUCGAAAGACUCGCUAAUACCGCAUACGACGAAAGUUGAAAGGAGUAAUCCGUCUAAAGAUGAGCCCGCGUCCGAUUAGCUAGUUGGUAGAGUAAAAGCCUACCAAGGCGACGAUCGGUAGCUGGUCUGAGAGGAUGAUCAGCCACAAUGGGACUAGAGACACGGCCCAUACUCCUACGGGAGGCAGCAGU